RNAcentral lists this unclassified non-coding RNA (3870 nucleotides) under Mizuhopecten yessoensis (Yesso scallop). RNAcentral's name for it is "cathepsin L1-like, transcript variant X1". The record is from RNAcentral. Lineage: Eukaryota; Metazoa; Mollusca; Bivalvia; Pectinida; Pectinidae.
UGCAUUUGACGUCACUUCCUCCAAUCACAUGAUAAACAAUCAUAUGACUUGCGCUUACUAAACAGAGGACUGGAAUUUCCACGAAAAGCACGGUGAAUAACGUACAGAGAGUUUGAGUUGAAUACCUCGUGAAGAUGAUGUACACCCUUGUGUUAAUGGCUUCCUUAGCCACGGUCGCCCUCAGUGCCCCGAACCUUGUUGAAUGGUUUGAGAUUGAGCCUGCCAAGACAGUUAACAAACCCAGACCUAACCUUCUGGGCCGUGAACAGGCCAGAGUUGUGUUUGAUGAUCACAUGACUGAAUUCUUCAACUUCAAGCAGUCAUUUGGUAGGGGAUACGAGACGAAGGAGGAGCAGUCACGAUUCAACACCUUCUCCAAGAAUCUAGACGUCAUUCGUGAACACAACAAGAAAUACCAAAGGGGAGAGAAAUCUUUCUAUUUGGGCAUCAACAACUUUACAGACAUGGAACUUGAAGAAUUUGUUCAGUACAAUGGUCUUUUGAAAAGAAAGCCUGUAAAAACCUCUGAUUGUGGAAAAUUCCUGGAGCCCAACUUCCUGACAUUGCCAGAGGAGGUGGACUGGAGGACAAAGGGAUAUGUCACCCCCGUCAAAAACCAGGGACAGUGCGGGUCAUGUUGGUCGUUCAGUUCAACUGGUGCUCUGGAAGGUCAGCAUUUCCGAAAGGCCCAUAAAUUGGUGUCGCUCAGUGAACAACAGUUGGUAGACUGUUCCAACGACUAUGGAAACAAUGGCUGUGAUGGAGGACUGAUGGACCAGGCCUUCGACUAUAUCCGUGACAUUGGGGGUCUCGAGUCCGAGGGCGAGUACCCAUACAAGGCAAAGGAUAAGAAGUGCCAUUUCAACAGUACUGAGAUCAAGGCCAAAUGCACUGGCUGUAUGGACAUUGAGAGUGGUGACGAGGAUAACCUCAAAAAGGCCGUCGGCUCUGUUGGACCUAUCUCGGUUGCUAUUGAUGCCAGUCACCAGUCCUUCCAGCUCUAUAAAUCAGGUGUUUACAAUGAAGAGAAUUGCAGCAGUGACCAGCUUGACCAUGGUGUACUUGCAGUUGGAUACGGGACAGAUGAUGGUAGUGACUACUGGCUUGUAAAGAACAGCUGGGAUACUGUGUGGGGAGAGGACGGUUACAUCAAGAUGGCAAGGAACCAAGGCAACAUGUGUGGUAUUGCCACUCAGGCCAGCUACCCUACAGUGUAAAAGCCUACUGUACUGGUAUGUCACAUUGUUAUAUAGUCACUGUAGGAACCAAGGCAACAUGUGUGGUAUUGCCACUCAGGCCAGCUACCCUACAGUGUAAAAGCCUACUGUACUGGUAUGUCACAUUGUUAUAUAGUCACUGUAGGAACCAAGGCAACAUGUGUGGUAUUGCCACUCAGGCCAGCUACCCUACAGUGUAAAAGCCUACUGUACUGGUAUGUCACAUUGUUAUAUAGUCACUGUAGGAACCAAGGCAACAUGUGUGGUAUUGCCACUCAGGCCAGCUACCCUACAGUGUAAAAGCCUACUGUACUGGUAUGUCACAUUGUUAUAUAGUCACUGUAGGAACCAAGGCAACAUGUGUGGUAUUGCCACUCAGGCCAGCUACCCUACAGUGUAAAAGCCUACUGUACUGGUAUGUCACAUUGUUAUAUAGUCACUGUAGGAACCAAGGCAACAUGUGUGGUAUUGCCACUCAGGCCAGCUACCCUACAGUGUAAAAGCCUACUGUACUGGUAUGUCACAUUGUUAUAUAGUCACUGUAGGAACCAAGGCAACAUGUGUGGUAUUGCCACUCAGGCCAGCUACCCUACAGUGUAAAAGCCUACUGUACUGGUAUGUCACAUUGUUAUAUAGUCACUGUAGGAACCAAGGCAACAUGUGUGGUAUUGCCACUCAGGCCAGCUACCCUACAGUGUAAAAGCCUACUGUACUGGUAUGUCACAUUGUUAUAUAGUCACUGUAGGAACCAAGGCAACAUGUGUGGUAUUGCCACUCAGGCCAGCUACCCUACAGUGUAAAAGCCUACUGUACUGGUAUGUCACAUUGUUAUAUAGUCACUGUAGGAACCAAGGCAACAUGUGUGGUAUUGCCACUCAGGCCAGCUACCCUACAGUGUAAAAGCCUACUGUACUGGUAUGUCACAUUGUUAUAUAGUCACUGUAGGAACCAAGGCAACAUGUGUGGUAUUGCCACUCAGGCCAGCUACCCUACAGUGUAAAAGCCUACUGUACUGGUAUGUCACAUUGUUAUAUAGUCACUGUAGGAACCAAGGCAACAUGUGUGGUAUUGCCACUCAGGCCAGCUACCCUACAGUGUAAAAGCCUACUGUACUGGUAUGUCACAUUGUUAUAUAGUCACUGUAGGAACCAAGGCAACAUGUGUGGUAUUGCCACUCAGGCCAGCUACCCUACAGUGUAAAAGCCUACUGUACUGGUAUGUCACAUUGUUAUAUAGUCACUGUAGGAACCAAGGCAACAUGUGUGGUAUUGCCACUCAGGCCAGCUACCCUACAGUGUAAAAGCCUACUGUACUGAUAAAAGAUCUGUUUGGGACCUCUCAUUUAUACAGGCAGGCAGGCAGUGACGACAGACGACCAACAAACAGUCGAUAAAACAGAAGGGGGAUAACUCUUAUAAGAUUGCAAAUUAAGAAUGAUGAAAGGUUGUUAAAAUCACACUUGAAUUUAUGAUAACCCUCAGUGAUUUUUAAAGGGUUUGAUUUUUCUUUAAAAUAUGCAAUUAAAUAUGAAAUUAUAGAUGCUGCCAUAUUGACAGAGAUAUUUUUGUGUCUACAGCUCUUACAACAUAUAUAUUUUUUCUUGUAACCAUUCCAUGCUGUGUGAAAAAUGUAUCCUUAGACACAACGGUAUUUUACAAUUAUGACCACUUUCCUCACAUGUUAAAAACCAGCUUCAUAUGAAAGUGUGACAACAGUUGUGUCAUGUCAAUAACAGUACGCGAGAAUGUAUGACAGUUUGGGUGAUCGUCGACAACAAUAUUUACUUAUCCCACUUUAACCAUUCAGGAAAAAUAUCACUUUUUGUACUUUUUGUUAGAUCUGAAGUAAUGUUGUUUUGUUUAGAUCUUAGAAAAUUAAGUAGAUAUUGAUCUGGAUUAUUUACAAAAUUUGUAUUGUCAUAUAGAAAUGAUCUGCAAUGUUGUGUACAUAUACUUUCCUACAGUUAAACAUGCGGAGAAACGUAAAAGGGAAUCUGUUGUCGCCCUUUGUGUAUUUCUAUAUGUAAAACACAAAGCUUUGUUUCAAUUUCAAAAAGUGAUCAUAUUGGCGUAACAUUCAAGCCUGGUGUUUAGUACUUUGUGAUAUUUUGAUAUUUUUUAUUAUAUAGAGUAGUCCCUAUGUGUCAUAUCAGAGAGUGCCUUGAGAGAGAGACAGCUCCGCUUCAUGUAACCAAUACUGUCUCUGUUCCAGAGAUAAAUACAAUGUUCCUUCAAUGUAAAUUACAUAUAAGGCGUUUUAGAAUAAAGGCAUUGUAUUUUACAAUGCUGAUAAAAAAUACAGAUCAAGUAAGAGUAAACCAGUAUUUUGGUAUUGUAGAUAUAAUUUAUGUUAGAAAACAUUCCAAAUAGGAAUCGUUUGAUUUGAGCAUCAGUUUAUAGGAUUCCAAGAUUUUAACCGUACAGAACGCAGUCCUACUUUGAGUAGCGACUUAUAGUUCUAAGUGACUCCCAGUGGUUCAUUUACAUGUACAGGAAAGUUUAUAUACUUGCAGAUGAAUAAAGAUAAUGGCUUAUAUACAUGUUAACGUUCACAAUAGCUGGUGAGCUGCCCUGUGAUUACACACACUUUUUUUUACAUGAAUACGAUGAUGGGAGUGUUACCUGAUGUAUGAAUGAAUAAAUGUUUUUUCUAA